Molecule: ribosomal RNA, 422 nt
Filed under: uncultured prokaryote
Description: bacterial SSU rRNA
Rfam family: Bacterial small subunit ribosomal RNA
Source: RNAcentral
UGAGGAAUAUUGGUCAAUGGGCGAGAGCCUGAACCAGCCAAGUCGCGUGAAGGAAGAAGGUUCUAUGGAUUGUAAACUUCUUUUGUAAGGGAAUAAAAAAGGUUACGUGUAACCUCUUGUAUGUACUUUACGAAUAAGGAUCGGCUAACUCCGUGCCAGCAGCCGCGGUAAUACGGAGGAUCCGAGCGUUAUCCGGAUUUAUUGGGUUUAAAGGGUGCGUAGGCGGACCCAUAAGUCAGUGGUGAAAGUUUGCAGCUUAACUGUAAAAUUGCCAUUGAAACUGUGGGUCUUGAGUGUAAAUGAGGUAGGCGGAAUGUGUUGUGUAGCGGUGAAAUGCUUAGAUAUAACACAGAACACCAAUUGCGAAGGCAGCUUACUGGGAUACAACUGACGCUGAGGCACGAAAGCGUGGGGAUCAAACA